Oxyura jamaicensis (ruddy duck) is the source of this 220-nucleotide long non-coding RNA. RefSeq lists it as uncharacterized. The record is from RefSeq and is a predicted model, not a curated record. NCBI's taxonomy places the organism in Eukaryota, Metazoa, Chordata, Aves, Anseriformes, Anatidae. The transcript is spliced from 3 exons.
CGGGUUGAACAGAAAACAAUAAAGCUUACACAGAUUAAUCUGUGUAAGCUUUCUUGUUAUUUCUCUCUCAAAAAAGAUUCCAGAUUCAAAUUUCAGCAGUUUUAAACUUCUUACUAGCACAGUCUUUAUUCUAGACUGACACACGUCCCCUUUCAAUACCCUCACGCUGUGUAAUGGUUUGACUCUAGCCACACCAUUUUCAGGCUCUUCUUGCAUCUCU